This 439-nucleotide long non-coding RNA is filed under the name Numida meleagris (helmeted guineafowl). RNAcentral describes it as "lncRNA (ENSNMEG00000000522.1)". Lineage: Eukaryota; Metazoa; Chordata; Aves; Galliformes; Numididae. The record is from RNAcentral.
CAGGCAAACAAAUACCUGUUUAGCAAACAAGCACUGUCCAAGCUAGAGAGUAAAGCUGGUCGUGAUUGCAUUUGAGGUUCGGGUUAGGCCAGCACAUCUGUAGGCCCCAUGCACAGCACAGCACGUGAAUUAUUUCUGUUUUACAGGAAUACCAUCUGCAAAGAGGCUGUGACUUGGGUAAGAGGAGGACCCUUACCCUUCUCCAGUCUGAUGCUGCGUAGAUUUCCUGACUGUUAUGAGCACUGCUGCACUCUUGCCAGUGCAACAUCUCUCUGUUUCCUGAAGGACAGUCCUUUUGGAGAUCCCAGCUUACAACACUGAGCUGCACAGCCAGGCCUCUGUGCUGGAAGGGCUGCUUUGGUACUAGCUAUGUGCCUUAGAGAGAGGGUGCUGUUUGUAGAAACCUCUGUGCACACCAUGAAAUAAAUUGGGAGUGGCA